This is a long non-coding RNA of Penaeus monodon (black tiger shrimp), 623 nucleotides long. RefSeq lists it as uncharacterized. The record is from RefSeq and is a predicted model, not a curated record. The transcript is spliced from 3 exons. Lineage: Eukaryota; Metazoa; Arthropoda; Malacostraca; Decapoda; Penaeidae.
AACUUCCCGAAAUGAGUAUCAUUACUUGUCUGGCAAAAGUUUUUUUUUUUUUCUUUCUUUAUCUAUUUAUCUAUUUAUUUCAUGGCUGUAUGCCCUUCUCGUAACCAACUGUCCCGAUUUUCUAGAUUUGAGACCGGCACCUGAGGAGUCUCCCUUGACUUCCCUAGUGCCUAAAGAUUCCCAUCCUCUCUGAUUCUCCUCCUUCGCCAGGUACUCCGUCGAGACCAAACAAGGCAAAAUGAAUAUCCUGCAUCAGCUGGCGUGUAGACUAAGUCCAUAUUUUUUGGCAUACUCGCUCUUCGUUCAAGUCAGCGAAUGUGGGAAUAUGAUGGUCAGUUCUGGUAAAUGCUUUGCUAAAAACGGGGUAGCCUUUUAUAAUUCCAGCUCGACCAUUGAAAUGUUCCUCGUAUUGCCUUAAUCUUCAGGGGUUGGCUUACAUGUUAAGGGAAGGAAUGUGUGAGCUGCGCGGGGUGGGCCUUGGCACCCUGAAGAAAUCGCUGCAGUUCUCGCCGAUACUGUUAGAGGAAGUUUCCAGAGGCAAGACACCGCUUUCAAGUCAACCCUAUGGAGCCUAUUACGCCGAAACUAAAGCCAUCGAUGACAGCGACAGCACUCUCUUCAGC